This is a long non-coding RNA of Homo sapiens (human), 1062 nucleotides long. Ensembl annotates it as Pvt1 oncogene. Its record names the gene PVT1. Lineage: Eukaryota; Metazoa; Chordata; Mammalia; Primates; Hominidae. The record is from Ensembl.
GAGUAGCUGGUAUUACAGGCGUGUGCCACAAAGCCUGGCUAAGUUUUGUAUUUUUAGUAGAGACGGGGUUUCACCAUGUUGGCCAGGUUGGUCUCGAACUCCUGACCUCAAGUGAUCCACUCACUUUGGCCUUUCAACGUGCUGGGAUUACAGGCGAGAGUCACCGCACCCGGACGACUCUGACAUUUUUGAAGAGUCCAGAAUCCUGUUACACCUGGGAUUUAGGCACUUUCAAUCUGAAAAAAUACAUAUCCUUUCAGCACUCUGGACGGACUUGAGAACUGUCCUUACGUGACCUAAAGCUGGAGUAUUUUGAGAUUGGAGAAUUAAGGCCUUCAGUGGGUUGAAUGAGGCCCAACCCACAUUGAAGAGGACCAUCUGCUUUACUCAGUCUCCUGGUUGAAGUGAUAAUCUCAUCUGGACAUACUCAGAAAUGCUGUUUAACCAGCUCUCUGGAAAUCCUGUGGCCCAGUCAAGUUGACACACAAAAUUAACCAUCACACUGCAGAGACACAGUCUAUCCCAAUACCUGUAUUUACUGGGUAACGUGCAUCUCAGCUCACCAGGCUGGUUUGAUUGACUUGGCCCAAAGCUGCCCUUUGAGUGUUGAGCCCCAGCUGACCCCUUUGAUCCUUCACAGCCCCAUCAUUAAAACAAGGACCCUGAAUCAAGUGACUGUAAGAGCCACUCUUGUCCUGUUCUGUCUGUAUCCUGGCUUUGAGUGUUUAUCUAAGCUAAGCCCAAUUGACUGUUGUCAUUCUUUGUCUCUUCCUUGCUCAGACAUCAGUUAGGUAUUUAUUGAACACUCCUGUGUUCACAGCAUCCGGCUCCUGGGAUUAGAGACAGCUCUUGACUCCUGGUUUUGCUCUUUGAAACCUAUUGGACUGCUUUUCUUUUAAGAUACACCCCCCACAUUAUAGGAAUCUAUCCAUUUCUUUGUUCAUUUCUUUAAUUGUGCAUUAUAUCAGUCCGUCAGUCAGUUUUCCUCCUGAAAUAUGCUAAGUAUUGAGAAUUAUAAUAGAUUCUAUUAAGCACCGCUAAUAAAGUACUAUCCUUAUAGUA